This 168-nucleotide non-coding RNA is filed under the name human gut metagenome. RNAcentral describes it as "Lysine riboswitch". It matches the Rfam family "Lysine riboswitch aptamer". From Rfam's summary of the family: Riboswitches are metabolite binding domains within certain messenger RNAs that serve as precision sensors for their corresponding targets. The record is from RNAcentral.
UGAGAUAGAGGUUGCGUGCUUCAUAAGUACCCCAUCGGAUGUGACAGGCACAGGGGAAGAUGGGGAAAAGGGGAGGACGCCGAAAGGGGCAGUACCUGGAGCUGUUUUCCUUGGGCAUGCAGUGAAGAACUGUAUGACUGUCAUCGCGUUGCGAUGGGGCGCUAUUUU